CAUCAACUGCUGGCAGGUUACAGCCAAGUAUGCUGUCCGAUGUUACCUCACACAUCUGACCAUGCCAGGCUCAGGAUUUAGACGCUGUGCCUCUCCAGAAUACGGACAGCAGAAGCACUGUGGAGAGUGUCCCUACAGCCUGGUACGGGAAUACCAAUACCCAAGGAUGGAAGAACCUACAAAAAUUAGUGGAUACAGACCAGACCAUCAGAGACAAUGCCCCCCACCCCGCCCCACACCAAUUGAGCACAUCUGGAAGGAGUGCUGUCUCAAGGACAACAGCAUCUAUCGUCAAGGACCCCACCAUCCGAGUCAUGCUUUCUCCUUGCUGCUGCCAUCGUGAUGGAAGCAUAGGGGCCUUAGCUCCCACAUCACCAGGUUCAAGAGCACUUCUUACCCUUCAACCAUCAGGCUCUUGAACAGGCAUGAAUAACUUCACUCACCACAACUCCGAACUGAUUCUGCAACAUGUGGAUUCACUUUCA
Molecule: long non-coding RNA, 485 nt
Organism: Mobula hypostoma (lesser devil ray)
Lineage: Eukaryota; Metazoa; Chordata; Chondrichthyes; Myliobatiformes; Myliobatidae
Exons: 3
Source: RefSeq, a predicted model, not a curated record